Molecule: ribosomal RNA, 482 nt
Filed under: uncultured bacterium
Lineage: Bacteria
Description: partial 16S ribosomal RNA
Rfam family: Bacterial small subunit ribosomal RNA
Source: RNAcentral
AUUGAACGCUGGCGGCAUGCCUUACACAUGCAAGUCGAACGGUAACAGGUCUUCGGAUGCUGACGAGUGGCGAACGGGUGCGUAAUACAUCGGAACGUGCCCAGACCUGGUGGAUAACGAGGCGAAAGCUUUGCUAAUACCUCAUACGAUCUAAGGAUGAAGGCCGGGGACCGCAAGGCCUUGCGCGUUUGGAGCGGCCGAUGGCAGAUUAGGUAGUUGGUGGGAUAAAAGCUUACCAAGCCGACGAUCUGUAGCUGGUCUGAGAGGACGACCAGCCACACUGGGACUGAGACACGGCCCAGACUCCUACGGGAGGCAGCAGUGGGGAAUUUUGGACAAUGGGCGAAAGCCUGAUCCAGCAAUGCCGCGUGCAGGAUGAAGGCCUUCGGGUUGUAAACUGCUUUUGUACGGAAAGAAAAGGAUCUGGCUAAUACCUGGGGCACAUGACGGUACCGUAAGAAUAAGCACCGGCUAACUACGUG